GAUGAACGCUGGCGGCGUGCCUAAUACAUGCAAGUCGAACGAACAGGCGAUGAGCUUGUGCCUCGGACGUUAGCCGAGGACGGGUGAGUAACAUGUGUAUAACCUACCUAUAAGACUGGGAUAACUUCGGGAAACCGGAGCUAAUACCGGAUAAUAUAUUGAACCGCGUGGUUCAUUAGUGAAAGACGGUGUUGCGGGCAGUUAUGGCUGGAUCCGCGCCUUAUCAGCUGGUUGGUAGUGUACGGGCUUACCAAGGCUACGACGCGUAGCCGGCCUGAGAGGGUGACCGGCCACAUUGGGACUGAGAUACGGCCCAGAAUCCUACGGGAGGCAGCAGUCGGGAAUAUUGCAGAAUGGGCGGGAGCCUGAUGCAGCAGCGCCGCGUGCGGGAUGACGGCCUUCGGGUUGUAAACCGAUUUCGCCGGUGACGAAGCGUGAGUGACGGUAAUGGGUAAAGAAGCACCGGCUAACUACGUG
RNAcentral lists this ribosomal RNA (477 nucleotides) under uncultured bacterium. RNAcentral describes it as "partial 16S ribosomal RNA". It matches the Rfam family "Bacterial small subunit ribosomal RNA", at positions 28 to 507 of the family's 1533-position model. The record is from RNAcentral.